CUAAUAUGAUAUAUAUUUUUAUUCUUAUAUUGGUGCAAAACCGUCUCUUAACACGAUUGCUCACGCUAGCUUAGGUAUAAAAUAAAAAUUGAAGUUUAUCAUGCUGGAAAAUGUUGUAAGUUUGUAUUCUGGGACAAAGAAUGCUCACAAUUUUUGGGUGUAUCAGCUAUUCAGAAGCGUGAUACAAUGAUUGAGGAUGGAAUUGAUGAUCCAUUAGAAUUCCCAUUAGCACUAGAUGUUUUUUUGGGUUUGGAGAUUGCUUUUAAAGUUAAGUGGCACCCCCAGUGAAAAAGUUGCUCUAUUGUCAUGAUUGUAAGGGAUGACACGUUCAUCAAACAACUAAAGGCUCCAUGGGAACAAAUACAUGUAUUUCUUCUACAACCUAACAUUAAUGGGUGAAUUUGUUUCGUCAACCUUCUGUUGGUCCUUAUCUGGUUUUGACACUAAGGAUCUGGAAAUUACAUCUAAGCAUAACACAGAACCAAUCACAUCCACUGCAAAGAGUCAAAUACUGGAUGAUUCAAGUGAAUCUACUACCUUGAUCGGCCUGUGUGAUGGAGAACUCUUCCCAACAAAACUUAAGAAGAGUAUCAAAUUGGAGAAGAAGAAUUAUUUGAUUCUAUAUAUUUCGUUCACUAUAUUGGCAUGUAGUAUUUUGCAAACAAUGUCUUUUUAUGUUUUGCAUCUGUAGUAUACUUUAAAUGUGUUUGACUAUGACUAAUUCAGAAGACAUAAUAUAUGUAUUAUACUCAAGUGUGUUUUUUAUUGCAACUCGAUUUCAGCCCU
Molecule: long non-coding RNA, 786 nt
Organism: Lathyrus oleraceus (garden pea)
Lineage: Eukaryota; Viridiplantae; Streptophyta; Magnoliopsida; Fabales; Fabaceae
Exons: 3
Source: RefSeq, a predicted model, not a curated record